AUGAACGCUGGCGGCGUGCCUAAUACAUGCAAGUCGUACGAGGGAAGUCCAGCUUGCUGGACGGAACGAGUGGCGAACGGGUGAGUAAUACGUAAGCAACCUGCCUGCAAGGACUGGGAUAACACCUGGAAACGGGCGCUAAUACCGGAUAGGUAACAAAGGGGCAUCCCUAUGUUAUUAAAGGUUGGAAACACAAGCAGAUGGGCUUACGGUGCAUUAGCUAGUUGGUGAGGUAACGGCCCACCAAGGCGAUGAUGCAUAGCCGGCCUGAGAGGGUGAACGGCCACAUUGGGACUGAGACACGGCCCAGACUCCUACGGGAGGCAGCAGUAGGGAAUUUUCGGCAAUGGACGAAAGUCUGACCGAGCAACGCCCGCGUGAGUGAAGAAGGUUUUCGGAUUGUAAAGCUCUGUUGUAAGGGAAGAACAGCACGGAAAGAAUCCGUGAAUGACGGUACCUUACCAGAAAGCCACGGCUAACUACGUGCCAGCCGCCGC
This 497-nucleotide ribosomal RNA is filed under the name uncultured bacterium. Its description in RNAcentral is "bacterial SSU rRNA". It matches the Rfam family "Bacterial small subunit ribosomal RNA", at positions 29 to 518 of the family's 1533-position model. The record is from RNAcentral.